GAUGAACGCUGGCGGCGUGCCUAAUACAUGCAAGUCGAGCGAACAGAUAAUGAGCUUGCUCCUUUUACGUUAGCGGCGGACGGGUGAGUAACACGUGGAUAACCUACCUAUAAGACUGGUAUAACUUCGGGAAACCGGAGCUAAUACCGGAUAACAUAUUGAACCGCAUGGUUCAAUAGUGAAAGUCGGCGUUGCUGUCACUUAUAGAUGCAUCCGCGCCGUAUUAGCUGGUUGGUAAGGUAACGGCUUACCAAGGCAACGAUACGUAGCCGACCUGAGAGGGUGAUCGGCCACACUGGAACUGAGACAGGGUCCAGACUCCUACGGGAGGCAGCAGUAGGGAAUCUUCCGCAAUGGGCGAAAGCAUGACGGAGCAACGCCGCGUGAGUGAUGAAGGUCUUCGGAUCGUAAAACUCUGUUAUCAGGGAAGAACAAAUGUGUAAGUAACUGUGCACAUCUUGACGGUACCUGAUCAGAAAGCCACGGCUAACUACGUG
RNAcentral lists this ribosomal RNA (497 nucleotides) under uncultured bacterium. RNAcentral's name for it is "partial 16S ribosomal RNA". It matches the Rfam family "Bacterial small subunit ribosomal RNA", at positions 28 to 507 of the family's 1533-position model. The record is from RNAcentral.